Molecule: transfer RNA, 26 nt
Filed under: Tethyaster vestitus
Lineage: Eukaryota; Metazoa; Echinodermata; Asteroidea; Paxillosida; Astropectinidae
Description: partial tRNA-Thr
Source: RNAcentral
AGCCUUGAAAGCUUACUAGAAGAUAA